AUGUAGCCCAGAGCCGGUGGCUCCCCCUCCUAAAACCUUCCUGUGGCUUCCUGGCUCAUUGAGGGUGAAAUGUACAAAUACCACAGGCCAGAGUCACACGAGGCGCCACAGGACUGGCCCGCGCCCUCCCUGAGCUCUCUCUCUGCUCUCUCCCUGUCACUCAUUUCACCUGGCCACACUCUGACCUUUCUCUUCUUCAGACACACCAAGCUCAUUCCGACCUCAGGGAUUUUGCACCGGCUUUUGCUGCUAACCAGCAUGCUCAUUCCCCAACCUCUGAUUUAAUUCUUU
RNAcentral lists this long non-coding RNA (291 nucleotides) under Homo sapiens (human). RNAcentral describes it as "non-protein coding lnc-AIFM2-3:1". Lineage: Eukaryota; Metazoa; Chordata; Mammalia; Primates; Hominidae. The record is from RNAcentral.